AUUUGGAACAUCCCACAGGUGUGCAGGCUAAUUGGGAACAGGUGGGUGCCAUGAUUGGGUAUAAAAGCAGCUUCCCAAAAAAUGCUCAGUCUUUCACAAGAAAGGAUGGGGCGAGGUACACCCCUUUGUCCACAACUGCGCGGAGCUGACGGGCCGACAGAGCGGCAGGGCACGCUGGACCCCGGCCCAAGAUGGCAGCGAGGAGGCGGAGAAGUCGAGUGGGCGGCGAGGGGAGGAGGAGGAGAGAUGGGAGGAGUUGGAGAGCAUGCAACACCUGCAGCAGUGAAUAGAGAGCGGAAGAGACGGAGAGCAAGACGGGGGCGGCUGAAAAGCGCCCGAGGAGCGAGCAGUGGAGGAAGGAGCUGAAAAGUGACCAGACCUGCAGACAGAGCUUAUUGAAAAAUAAAGCAAGUCAAACCUGCUCAAGCAAUGUCCUUCCUUGAUGGUCCUGGGAACCCGCAUGACGGCA
Long non-coding RNA from Nerophis ophidion (straightnose pipefish), 469 nucleotides. RefSeq lists it as uncharacterized. The record is from RefSeq and is a predicted model, not a curated record. Lineage: Eukaryota; Metazoa; Chordata; Actinopteri; Syngnathiformes; Syngnathidae. The transcript has 3 exons.